Non-coding RNA from Schistosoma rodhaini, 48 nucleotides. Lineage: Eukaryota; Metazoa; Platyhelminthes; Trematoda; Strigeidida; Schistosomatidae. The record is from Rfam.
AUCCAGCUGAUGAGUCUCAAGUAGGACGAAGUGGCGCGCGACCUGGAU